Molecule: long non-coding RNA, 928 nt
Organism: Notolabrus celidotus (New Zealand spotty)
Lineage: Eukaryota; Metazoa; Chordata; Actinopteri; Labriformes; Labridae
Exons: 3
Source: RefSeq, a predicted model, not a curated record
AGCAGAUCACAGAUUGUUUGACGUCACGGACCUAGCUUGAUUGUUUCCAUGACUCACGUCGCUUCAGUCUCUGCCGUCCAAAGUAGUUAACUUACCAAGUCAAAGUUAGUUUAAACUUGAUUUUCUGUUUCUUUCUGAAGUUCUCAUUAAAAAUCACUUUAAAAGCCAUCUUCUGUUGUUGAACGGCAGACUAACGAGGCCGUUAGCAUUCUGCUAAUCAACGGUCGGCAGGUUUCAAACGGACCGGUCCAUGGAGCGGGUCAGCUUCAGCCCGUUAGCCUCCAAAGCAACGUAGGGAGGGGGGGUUAGAAAGACAUCCAUUAUAAAAACGGCCUUCUGACAGUUUACAGCUUGUUUUUAACUCUUUAUCUUAUUAAAGGUAAAACCAUUACAACAUCAUCAAAACAAUACCAACUCUGUGAGGCAGGUGGAGUGGCACCGACCGUCCUUACCCCCCCUCUCCUCUUCAGAUGGAUCCGUCCAUGAAGGGUCAGAGGUCAAGGGUGAAAUAAUAAAGUGAUAUCAGAACAGAGUGAGCAGAGAUGAAUGAAAACACAAUUAAACUGGAUCAUAAAGGACCAGAGGAAAGGGACUGCAAACGGACUACAGAGAGCCUCCCUUGUGUUCUGGUUCCUCCAUCUUCAACACAACCUGUGGCAUAAUCCCAAUCUGGACCAGGAAACCCACCAUCCAGAUAGACUUCAGAUAGACCUGUACUGCUCUGGAGCUCCCUCUGCUGGGCUCAGCCAUGCACACACGAGCAGUCAAGAUCAAUUUAAGAUCAUCAAGAAACCAUGGAUCAAACAAAGAGCAUACAACUGAAGAUCCCUCUGAAUUAUGUCUCAAGUAAAUGGAAUCAGUUUGAAAUCAUUCAUUGUUACUUAUCAUGAAAAACAUUAAAUAUAAAACAUCAUGUAGCCUCGUCUGA